This is an RNA transcript of Alexandromys fortis (reed vole), 6285 nucleotides long. It is a transcript of the gene named synapse defective Rho GTPase homolog 2, with no coding region annotated. The record is from RefSeq and is a predicted model, not a curated record. Lineage: Eukaryota; Metazoa; Chordata; Mammalia; Rodentia; Cricetidae. The transcript is spliced from 9 exons.
GCCCGCCGCGGCAGAGUUAUGCCAAGUAUGUGAGGAGCUGGCGAGGACCGGCCGCGGUCAUGGAGAGCCGCCGCCUCCGCCCGCGCGGGACUCGGAGCCAGCCCCGCGCCCAGGGCGAGCCGGGCUGCUGAGGCUGUGCGCAUGGCGGAGCCCUGGCGGAGGACGCUCGGCCGGCACCGGGAGCCCCGCGCUCCGGGGGCGCUCGAGCUGCGUGCGGAUACCGUGGCGGCUUCGCUCUCCGAGGCACGCUCGGCGCCCCGCGGGCUCGUGAGCCCGGGCAUGGAGCAGCCCGCGUGGGGGAACGGGAUGCGCUCCGAGCAACCAGGCGCGCGGGUCGCAUGGCCUCGCGGGGCUCGAGAGGCCGCCGCUCUGGGCCGCGCGCUCGCUCGCGCCAUCCCGGGCCCCGAAGGCAGCGGUGACGCUGACGACGACAACGACGACGGGGAGGACGAGGGCGCCGACUACUACGAGAACCUGCCCGCGGGCUGUGCGCCCGAGGGGGCGGAGGCGCUGCGGGCCUCGCCUUUCCCAGCGGCGGGCUCCUCCCCGGGGGUGGAGGGCGGCCGCCGGGAGACGGGCAGGCUGCAGACCCAGUUGCGAGAGGCCUAUUAUCUGCUGAUCCAGGCCAUGCACGACCUGCCCCCUGACUCGGGCACGCGGCGGGGCGGACCCGCGGGAGCCCGGGCUCGGGGCCAGCAGCCACCUCUCCCCCACGGCGCAGCCGUGCGCCCAGCCUGCAGCCCCCGAGGCGGCGACCGCCCUUCGCAGCCGCAGCAGGUGUCCCCGCCCCGGUCGCCUCCUAAGGAGUCCGGGGUAGGACGGCCGCCGAGUCCUCGGAUGAGGCUGUCCAGUUGCAGAAGUCUCGAGAGCCUCCGCGGGAACCCCCAGCCGCCACUGCUCCAGCGGUGGGCGAGCGACAGCUGGAUCUCGUGCGUCGCGCACCGGGACAGGGACGAGCCCCCGCCACGUGUAGGUGGGAUGGACGGCUGGAGCCGGGGCAGCCACCGGGCUGCUGCAUCCGCCGCGUUCCUGCCUUCCAUCUGCCAGGACCCGGGCCGGUCCUCGGGACGUCCCUAUAGGGAUCUUGCGGGGACCUCUGUGAUACCCAGCAGCCAAGAGGACCGUCCCGAGGGGCCUCCGCUCCUCAAGCCACCUGCGGUGACGGUCAAGAAGCUGCAGAGGUGGAUGUACAAAGGACGCCUGCUGUCCCUGGGGAUGAAGGGUCGCGCUCGUGGGACAGCAUCCAAAGUUCCCGGAGCGCAGGCAACUUCUCCAAAUUUGGGCAGUUGGAAAGUGCACGAAAACCACGUCCUCUCGGUGACCGCGGACCAAAGAAUCGCACUGACAGCAGACUUAUUUGAAAAUGUCUAUGGGUCUCCAUCGAAGAAAAGGGAACCUGAAGAUGUACAGGAUAAUGCUGAGCUUAGAGGUCAUCAGCCCCUUAACAACAUCACUGUCUCAAAGAAACGCAAUUGGCUGUAUCAGAGCACCCUGAGGUCUCAGAGUCUGGAAGAGAGUAAGCGAUGCCAAGAGAGAAGCAAUUUCCCGCCCUCCCCGGUGUCGUCACCCAGAUAUGCGCCGUCGCAGCCUUUCUGCAGGUCCCCAAGGGAACGCUACACACAUGCGACGUGUGAUGCCGCCAGCUCUGCAUUCUCAGGAAACUGCUCUUUAGACUUCAGUGAGGACAACCAUGCUGAUGAUGAAGGGGAGAUAUGGUACAAUCCCAUCCCCGAGGAAGACGAGCUUGGCGCAGCAGGUGUCUUGAGUCUCGAGGAGGCGAACACUACCACAGUGCAGCUCCCUGCUCUCCGUGCGAACACGGUGUCUGCGAGAGACCUGAGGAAGGCUGAGCUGCAUGGUGAAGAGCGGCUGUGUUCUGCCCAGAACACAGGUGACGUGCCGAGCCCUGUAGACUCCAUCCAGUCCACAGAGGUUACGCAGCAGCGCAGGCAAAGGUUAGGACCCAGGACACAGGAAGGCAUCACGGCAGAGGACAGCCCCGUGCUGAAAUCUGCCUUUACAGGUCCUGGGGUCUUGGUUUCUGCAAAUAGGACUGAAUUGAGAGCUAUGGAGCCGUCUUCUCCGAGCCCCAGCCCUGCGAAGAAAGGCAGUUCCAUUACUUGGUCUUUGCCAGAUAAAAUAAAAUCUCCACGCACUGUGAGGAAGCUGUCCAUGAAGAUGAAAAGGUUGCCAGAAUUCAGCCGGAAGCUGGGUGCCAGGGGACCCUCGCACGAUAUAGGCAGUCCAGAGAGUACCCCUUCCAAGUGCAGCUGUCACCAGCUGCCUCGUGGUGCCCUUCUCCCCUCUGGGAACCCGACCAGGAACGUCAUAAGCCGGUACCAUCUUGAUACCACUGUUUCGUCUCAGCACAGCUACCAGAAGAAAAGUACCGGGAGCUCGAAGUAUUCCUGCAAGGGUGGUUACCUUAGCGACGGAGAUUCACCCGAACUUAGAACUAAAUCGAGCAAGCACAGAUCCGAGCACAAACUCGGGAAAGGAAGAGAAGCCAUUCCGAGCGGUUGUAGCAAAAACGACAUAGACAUAGAUGCCUUCAGACACUACAGCUUUGCCGACCAGCCCAAGUGCUCACAGUACAUAUCGGGCCUCAUGAGCGUGCACUUCUAUGGAGCAGAGGGGCUCAAGCCACCCCGGAUGGAUUCCAAAGACGUCUUCUGUGCCAUUCAGGUAGACUCGGUGAACAAAGCCAGAACGGCUUUGCUCACCUGCCGGACGACGUUCUUAGACAUGGACCACACUUUCAACAUAGAGAUCGAAAACGCACAGCAUUUGAAGCUGGUGGUGUUCAGCUGGGAGCCCACUCCGAGGAGAAACCGAGUGUGCUGCCAUGGCACAAUUGUCCUGCCCACUCUCUUCAGAGUGACAAAGACACACCAGCUGGCCGUCAAACUUGAACCCAGAGGCCUUAUUUAUGUCAAGGUGACCCUCAUGGAACUGUGGGAGAAUUCUCUCCACGGCCUGGAUAAAAGCCGGGAGUCCGUCAUGUUUGGUGUUGACAUUCAGAAGGUUGUGGAGAAAGAAAACGCGGGGUCGAUGGUGCCGCUGCUGAUACAGAAAUGUAUCGUGGAAAUUGAGAAGAGGGGCUGCCAGGUCGUAGGCCUGUAUCGAUUGUGUGGUUCAGCAGCUGUCAAGAAAGAGCUUCGCGAGGCUUUUGAGAAGGAUAGCAAAACUGUUGGUCUGUGUGAAAACCAGUACCCAGAUAUAAAUGUAAUAACAGGUGUCCUUAAGGACUAUCUAAGAGAACUCCCUGCUCCCCUGAUAACGAAGCAGCUGUACGAGGCUGUGUUAGACGCAAUGGUGAAAAACCCUCUGAAAAUGCCACCGAAUGGCUGUGAGUCCGAGUCCAGUGACUCCAAGUUCACCGUUGGCCUGCUGAAUUGCUUGCCGGAUGUUGAGAAGGCAACCCUAAAGAUGUUGCUAGACCACCUGAAGUUGGUGGCUUCGUACCACGAAGUGAAUAAGAUGACCUGCCAGAAUCUGGCUGUGUGCUUUGGACCAGUGCUGCUCAAUCAGAGGCAUGAGACUUCGCCCCACAACAACAGAGUCUUCACGGAUUCCGAAGAACUCGCCAGCGCUUUGGAUUUUAAAAAACACAUUGAAGUUCUUCAUUACCUGCUCCAGCUCUGGCCAGACUCACGGUCGAAUACUUGGCUCACUGCUGGUGAUGCUGUUUGGGGGAUGGUCUGGAAACUUCAAGUGGUGGGACCUAGCUAGAGGAAAGCCUCGCCUUUGAAGCCUACACCCGAUCCUGUGCCUCUGCUUCUUGUCUGCGGAGAGACUCCAGGGAUGACCAUAAAAGCAAAGACCUACGGGGCCUAAGCUGCAAUGACUCUAUCUACACUAAAACUGCAAAUUGAUUCUGCAGCUCAUCAUUUUAAAGGUAUGUGAGGGCUGACCCCCCCCCCCCCCGUGCCUCAACACUGAAGGGAUAUUAAAGACAAAGGGACCUCCCAAAAUUAUAAAUCAGGGCUUUGAAAGGCUAUUUGUCCAUCCACAUUCACGGCACCACCAUUUGCAGUAGAAGAAAGGUGGAAAUAACCGUGGAUGAAUGUCCAAACAAAAUGUGGCCUAGGUAGGUGAUGGGAUACUAUUCAUCCCGGGCUGCAGAGAUGGCUCAGUGGUUAAGCACACUGGCUGUUCUUCCAGAGGUCCUGGGUUGGAUUCCCAGCUUUGGAGCAGAUCAGAACACCGUGUUUCUAUUUAGAGGCAGAGACGUUCUAGUAGGAAGGGGUCACUAUGCUCCUGUAAUAUUCUUCCCUCAAGAGCAGAGACCCUAAGACCAUUUAAGAGAUGAGUUGUAACUGGGAAUUGAUAUAACCCCUUCCCACCAUGAACAUCCAGAAGUCUAAUCCCAAAGCUGUUCACCAGAAGGGAUCAGCGUCAGGACUGGAGUUUGAGGUCACAGGCUCAGGUGUAGCUUCCAGGCAGAGGUGCGCAUUCAGAAAGCGAUAAGAAACCAGAACUCUCCACUGGACCUCAGGGGCUGGAAAGCGUGGACAUUUCCUGCUUCUGGCCAAGGACAAAAAUGGAAUUGUUCGCCUCAAGGUCCUUGCCCCUAAAGUGACUGCCUGGUUCCUACUUCCGGUCCUCGUCAUUAUGUUCACUGACCCCACAGUGGUGUCGUCAGGCACCAUCUGAGGCUGCGAGCAGAAGUCCCCGCCCUUUGCGGUGACACAGCUCCCUGGUGUGUCCAGCAAUGGACCUGAAAAGUGUUGGGAUUUAUGACUUUCUUUGCUUUGUUGCAACAAAAAUUUCAAGAACUUUUUGGGAAAAAAAAAAAACAUAUUUGAAAGGGAACUUCGGGUGGCUCAAGUCUGUGUUUUCAGACCAUGAUCAUUCUCAUUCUCAUUUGGCUCUCGAAUAAAUUUUCUUUUAGCCCCUUAGAGGUGAGAGAUGGUUUUACAUUAACAGUGGGUUGCAGGAUGACUACAAAGGGUUAAAAAGAGUGGGGUUCAAGAGGUCUCAAGGGUUCCAAGAAACAGGAGAGACUGAAGGAAAUGUGGCCUGUGGGGGUGAGCUGACUAACCGAAGUUAGUCAGAAGUCAAAGGAGCUGUUCUGACUUGCUGGCUGUGGAUGCAGGCUUCAGGGUCAGAGUUGAGCUGUCCACUUCAGUCCAGUUGCAAAGGCAAAAGGGUAGGGCUGGGUCCAGCUCAAGGGAAGGGAAGAAGGUCUAGGUGGGUGGACAGGAAGGCAGGUAGCAGUUUUAUCUAGGAGACCGUAUCAGACGAGAAUGAACUAAGCUGAAGCCCCAGGCAUAGUCUGGGAGUUCCCCGCACGGGGUCCUUGACAGGUCUGGAGGAGCCAUGGUCUCUGCAGGGCUCAGUACCUCCCUUUUGGGGCAUGGGGAGGGCAGGUGAGGGAAUUACAGCCUUUCCUAAGUCUGAAAUGUCUGAUAAGUUCUUGGGGCUAGUUUCCCUGAUUUUUUUUUAAAUUUGCCCUUGUUUCCUUACUGUCCCAAGUCACCCUGAUACAUUUACAGGGUGGCACUCUUUCUACUCUCACUGAUAAUAAUUUAUCAGUCUGUGCACUGUGUGUGGUACCAGACAGAUGCCAUUUGAAUGCCCAUCACGCUGCAAAUGUCAUCCUCCAUCCUAAAACUCACCCCCAGGCUGAGUGUAAGAGGAGUCUCGUCGGUCGGUCAGGGCCUGGUCUGAAGGGCCACUGCUUUAUACAACAUAGAACAGACUGAUCUCAACAACAAUAAUAAACUAAUAAGAAUGGUGGCUCUUCUGGGCAGGAAGCAAGAGAUCCUCUUUCUGAGGCUUCAUCUUGAAGAGAUCAUAGAACUCAUAUUUCCCAGGCCUUCUUGAGUGAUCUAGAAAAUUCCUUGUAAGGCAGAAGACGCAUGAGACAACUAGGGGCUUUGUUUCUGUGGAUGUUUUUGUUUGUUUCAGGGUUACCCUUGAGGAAGUUUCCCUCCACACUGUCUCUGAGUGAGCAGGGCUGUCCUGGGGCCUGGAAACCCUCGGAAACUGUCUGAUCAGCUAUGACAUUAUCCACAAUGGAGCUGCUGUGGUCCUGGUGUCUCUUCACAGCCGUAGAACAUUGACUAAGACAGGACUCAGCUCAACUGCGGGUCCAAGUGGGACCAUUUCUUAACAGCCCAAGAAAGAAACUCUUCUCUGGGCUUCUCCGGCACUCUCUCUUUGCUGACAGCCGUAACACUAGCAUCUGUUUGCCUUGCCAACAGGGCACUUCCUCCUCAUCUCCUCUCACCAUUGUCCAACCCACAGCAUCAAACUGGAAUAAAGGUCAUUUAAAAUAAA